AACGAACGCUGGCGGCAUGCCUAACGCAUGCAAGUCGAACGAGACCUUCGGGUCUAGUGGCGCACGGGUGCGUAACGCGUGGGAACCUGCCCUUAGGUUCGGAAUAACUCCCCGAAAGGGGUGCUAAUACCGGAUAAUGUCUUCGGACCAAAGAUUUAUCGCCUUUGGAUGGGCCCGCGUUGGAUUAGCUAGUUGGUAGGGUAAAAGCCUACCAAGGCGACGAUCCAUAGCUGGUCUGAGAGGAUGAUCAGCCACACUGGGACUGAGACACGGCCCAGACUCCUACGGGAGGCAGCAGUGGGGAAUAUUGGACAAUGGGCGAAAGCCUGAUCCAGCAAUGCCGCGUGAGUGAUGAAGGCCUUAGGGUUGUAAAGCUCUUUUACCCGGGAUGAUAAUGACAGUACCGGGAGAAUAAGCUCCGGCUCACUCCGUGC
This 434-nucleotide ribosomal RNA is filed under the name uncultured bacterium. Its description in RNAcentral is "partial 16S ribosomal RNA". It matches the Rfam family "Bacterial small subunit ribosomal RNA", at positions 29 to 508 of the family's 1533-position model. The record is from RNAcentral.